AGCGAACGCUGGCGGCAGGCUUAACACAUGCAAGUCGAACGCCCCGCAAGGGGAGUGGCAGACGGGUGAGUAACACGUGGGAACGUACCCUUUGGUUCGGAAUAACUUGGGGAAACUCAAGCUAAUACCGGAUAAGCCCUUAUGGGGAAAGGUUUACUGCCGAAGGAUCGGCCCGCGUCUGAUUAGCUUGUUGGUGAGGUAAUGGCUCACCAAGGCGACGAUCAGUAGCUGGUCUGAGAGGAUGAUCAGCCACACUGGGACUGAGACACGGCCCAGACUCCUACGGGAGGCAGCAGUGGGGAAUAUUGGACAAUGGGGGCAACCCUGAUCCAGCCAUGCCGCGUGAGUGAUGAAGGCCUUAGGGUUGUAAAGCUCUUUUACCCGGGACGAUAAUGACUGUACCGGGAGAAUAAGCCCCGGCUAACUUCGUGCCAGCCGCCGCGGUAA
This 447-nucleotide ribosomal RNA is filed under the name uncultured bacterium. Its description in RNAcentral is "partial 16S ribosomal RNA". It matches the Rfam family "Bacterial small subunit ribosomal RNA", at positions 29 to 523 of the family's 1533-position model. The record is from RNAcentral.